GAUUAGGGUCAUCUUAUUUCUUCACUCGAUCUCUCUCCCUAUGUUGCCUUUCUCUCUAAAAUUUCUAUGCCCAUUUGGUAGCUUGAAUCAGGGUGCAGAAAUUAAAGUGUUGGAAAAGUGAAGGUUAGAUGACAAAGUACGAAAAAGGCUCUUAAAAUAGGUCGAGAUUAACUCCAAGUGACUUACAUUUGCGCGUCCAUACGCAUAAUCAUCAUGGAAAAGGUUUUGUUGGUGCUCAUUCCCAACUUCUACAUGGUACAAGAAGGAGCCGUGCUUGAUCCUCCUCCUACUGAUGAUGACGACGACAACAACGUUGAUUCCUAGCUUCAUAGUAUUCGUAGCGCUUGACCGUUACAUUAAUUUAAGAUAGACUAUUUUGUGUGGAAG
This is a long non-coding RNA of Capsicum annuum, 387 nucleotides long. RefSeq lists it as uncharacterized. Lineage: Eukaryota; Viridiplantae; Streptophyta; Magnoliopsida; Solanales; Solanaceae. The record is from RefSeq and is a predicted model, not a curated record. The transcript is spliced from 4 exons.